This 86-nucleotide transfer RNA is filed under the name Proschkinia sp. SZCZR1824. Its description in RNAcentral is "tRNA-Ser". It matches the Rfam family "tRNA". Rfam says of the family: Transfer RNA (tRNA) molecules are approximately 80 nucleotides in length. Their secondary structure includes four short double-helical elements and three loops (D, anti-codon, and T loops). Lineage: Eukaryota; Bacillariophyta; Bacillariophyceae; Naviculales; Stauroneidaceae. The record is from RNAcentral.
GGAUAAGUGGUCGAGUGGUUUAAGGCGUUAGUUUUGAAAACUAUUGUAUUAUAAAAGUACCGUAGGUUCGAAUCCUACCUUAUCCU